RNAcentral lists this long non-coding RNA (282 nucleotides) under Rhagoletis pomonella (apple maggot). Its description in RNAcentral is "uncharacterized LOC118734599". Lineage: Eukaryota; Metazoa; Arthropoda; Insecta; Diptera; Tephritidae. The record is from RNAcentral.
UGACUGAACAGACGCAAGCAAGCGAGUGGUGUCGUUGAUUUUUUCGCAAACGUCUCAAUUUCUUUAGAAGAUAGAAAAUCUUUUCAUUUAUUUAUAUUUACAAUAUAGAAGUGUAGGAAAAUGCAGUUUUGGAGCACUCGAAAAUGUCGCUGCUUAGCAAUUUUUAUGGUAAUUUACGUCCUUUAUAAUCCUACGGAUUCUGGAGCUGUGGACAUGACCAGUGAAAAUGUUGACAUGACACUAGCGUCUAACGAAUUGGUUUUCCUUAAUUUCUACGCCGAA